RNAcentral lists this small RNA (29 nucleotides) under Bombyx mori (domestic silkworm). RNAcentral describes it as "ovarian small RNA-30574". The record is from RNAcentral. Lineage: Eukaryota; Metazoa; Arthropoda; Insecta; Lepidoptera; Bombycidae.
UGAAAUCCACAUUAAAUGUGGAAUGGGGU